This 77-nucleotide small RNA is filed under the name Flavobacterium frigidimaris. RNAcentral's name for it is "Flavo-1 RNA". The record is from RNAcentral. Lineage: Bacteria; Pseudomonadati; Bacteroidota; Flavobacteriia; Flavobacteriales; Flavobacteriaceae.
UCAUAGCCCUGAUAAAUGCAAUAUAUUUUUGUGGCUUUUUAGCAAGGAAAAAAAUAUAGCGGAUAUCGGGAUUAGCU